CCUACGGGGUGCAGCAGUGAGGAAUAUUGGUCAAUGGCCGUAAGGCUGAACCAGCCAAGUAGCGUGAGGGAAGACUGCCCUAUGGGUUGUAAACCUCUUUUAUGCGGGGAUAAAGGUGUCCACGUGUGGAUGUUUGCAGGUACCGCAUGAAUAAGGACCGGCUAAUUCCGUGCCAGCAGCCGCGGUAAUACGGAAGGUCCGGGCGUUAUCCGGAUUUAUUGGGUUUAAAGGGAGCGUAGGCCGGUCUUUAAGCGUGCCGGGAAAUUUUGUGGCUCAACCAGGAGAGUGCGGCGCGAACUGGAGACCUUGAGUGCGCGGAAGGCAGGCGGAAUUCGUGGUGUAGCGGUGAAAUGCUUAGAUAUCACGAAGAACCCCGAUUGCGAAGGCAGCCUGCCGAAGCGUUACUGACGCUGAAGCUCGAAAGCGCGGGUAUCGAACAGGAUUAGAUACCCGUGUAGUC
RNAcentral lists this ribosomal RNA (460 nucleotides) under uncultured bacterium. RNAcentral's name for it is "partial 16S ribosomal RNA". It matches the Rfam family "Bacterial small subunit ribosomal RNA", at positions 338 to 795 of the family's 1533-position model. The record is from RNAcentral.